UAGAGUUUGAUCCUGGCUCAGGAUGAACGCUAGCGACAGGCUUAACACAUGCAAGUCGAGGGGCAGCACAGGUAGCAAUACCGGGUGGCGACCGGCGCACGGGUGAGUAACGCGUAUGCAACUUACCUAUCAGAGGGGGAUAACCCGGCGAAAGUCGGACUAAUACCGCAUGAAGCAGGGGCCCCGCAUGGGGAUAUUUGCUAAAGAUUCAUCGCUGAUAGAUAGGCAUGCGUUCCAUUAGGCAGUUGGCGGGGUAACGGCCCACCAAACCGACGAUGGAUAGGGGUUCUGAGAGGAAGGUCCCCCACAUUGGAACUGAGACACGGUCCAAACUCCUACGGGAGGCAGCAGUGAGGAAUAUUGGUCAAUGGACGAGAGUCUGAACCAGCCAAGUAGCGUGAAGGAUGACUGCCCUAUGGGUUGUAAACUUCUUUUAUACGGGAAUAAAGUGGAGUAUGCAUACUCCUUUGUAUGUACCGUAUGAAUAAGGAUCGGCUAACUCCGUGCCAGCAGCCGCGGUAAUACGGAGGAUCCGAGCGUUAUCCGGAUUUAUUGGGUUUAAAGGGAGCGUAGAUGGAUGUUUAAGUCAGUUGUGAAAGUUUGCGGCUCAACCGUAAAAUUGCAGUUGAUACUGGAUAUCUUGAGUGCAGUUGAGGCAGGCGGAAUUCGUGGUGUAGCGGUGAAAUGCUUAGAUAUCACGAAGAACUCCGAUUGCGAAGGCAGCCUGCUAAGCUGCAACUGACAUUGAGGCUCGAAAGUGUGGGUAUCAAACAGGAUUAGAUACCCUGGUAGUCCACACGGUAAACGAUGAAUACUCGCUGUUUGCGAUAUACGGCAAGCGGCCAAGCGAAAGCGUUAAGUAUUCCACCUGGGGGGUACGCCGGCAACGGUGAAACUCAAAGGAAUUGACGGGGGCCCGCACAAGCGGAGGAACAUGUGGUUUAAUUCGAUGAUACGCGAGGAACCUUACCCGGGCUUAAAUUGCAGAUGAAUUACGGUGAAAGCCGUAAGCCACAAGGCAUCUGUGAAGGUGCUGCAUGGUUGUCGUCAGCUCGUGCCGUGAGGUGUCGGCUUAAGUGCCAUAACGAGCGCAACCCUUGUUGUCAGUUACUAACAGGUUCCGCUGAGGACUCUGACAAGACUGCCAUCGUAAGAUGUGAGGAAGGUGGGGAUGACGUCAAAUCAGCACGGCCCUUACGUCCGGGGCUACACACGUGUUACAAUGGGGGGUACAGAGGGCCGCUACCACGCGAGUGGAUGCCAAUCCCAAAAACCUCUCUCAGUUCGGACUGGAGUCUGCAACCCGACUCCACGAAGCUGGAUUCGCUAGUAAUCGCGCAUCAGCCACGGCGCGGUGAAUACGUUCCCGGGCCUUGCACUCACCGCCCGUCA
RNAcentral lists this ribosomal RNA (1392 nucleotides) under uncultured bacterium. Its description in RNAcentral is "16S ribosomal RNA". It matches the Rfam family "Bacterial small subunit ribosomal RNA". The record is from RNAcentral.